Molecule: long non-coding RNA, 1787 nt
Filed under: Dicentrarchus labrax (European seabass)
Lineage: Eukaryota; Metazoa; Chordata; Actinopteri; Moronidae
Description: lncRNA (ENSDLAG00005032455.1)
Source: RNAcentral
GGCAAAGAGCAGGAGAGUGCACGUGACUGAGAUCAACACCAUCUCCUGUAACAGUCAUCAGUGAUAUCAACACAAGGCCCAUCUGCGGCAUCAUGCCAAUUAACCAGGCUGUGUCGUUAAAGGGGCAUUCAGUCAAUUUUCAUCUCCAUGUGCUUGUCAUUGAUUCCUAGCAGAUUUGAUAGGGCAGCGGGAGGAAAAGUCGUUCAGCUGCGGUGUCUCCCAUGAAAGCUCAGGAAAGUACCAGACUUUUACAAGGUGUUGGAUACAUUUUGUAACAAAUGAGAGGUCUAUUAUCAUUAAUGUGGCGAGUUAAUGAAAGCCACAGAUCCCCAGAGGACGGGCGGUGACAGAUGGAGAGAAACAAUGGGCUUCCAACUGCAACAAACACGGGGAAGAAGCCCAGCGAGGACAAACACAGAGAGGGAAACACACAGCGCCAGAGACCCACACUCCUCCGGCAGAGCCGAGUUAUUAUCAGUGAUGGCUGGAAACAGGAGGAGGAGAUAGCUCAGUGAAGCACAGGAAGCAGCAGGAGGGAGAAGGCCAUACGUUUGGUGUUGGGGUGUGAUUGUAGUGAAAACUUUUGAUUAGUUUAGAGUAGAGUUACUGCAGGAGGUCCGCCUGAUAUCAAAUCCAGAGAAGAGCAAACAACUAUCCAAACUCCUAACAUGGACACUAACUUAGCAGGCUACAUUUACUCUUUUUAAGUGCUUCAGUAGGUAUCAAUACUUUACUGAUGUAUUUAAAUUUUAUACAACUUUACACUUCUACUUCACUCAGAGGAGAAUAAUGGACCUUUUUACUUCAGUAUGUUUAUUCUAGAGAUGAAACAAAUUGUUGCUUAAAAUUAUUAGUCCAUCAACAAAAUUAAUUGGCAACUGUUUUGAAAAUUGAUUAAUCAUUUCAAGCUAAAAUAGAGAAAAAAUCUGUGGCUUCAGCUUCUUAAAUGUGAGACUUUGCUGCUUUGCUUUUUUCUUGUGACAGUAGUGUUUUGGACUGUUGUUUGGACAAAACAAGACACUUAAAGUUAUCAGGAAAUUGUCAUUGUCAGAAAUUUACCCUCUUUCCUUAACCCAUAUCAAAGAAAAAUCAAGAAAAACAACCUUUAAUGGGGAAGUAAAUGGAAGAAAGGAUCAACAGAAGAAGGAACUUUCAUCCAGGACAUGCAAUAGAGUGAACAGAAUAGACCGAAUACAAGGUGGAAAAUCUGAAUAGGUUGUGGAUGAAUAUGGAUCUGCGAGGAUGUCAAGCAACUUCCAAGUUCUGCCAAAUAGAUAGGACCUGAGGCACACGACCUCCUUUACUUCUUUACGUAAAUAAUUGGAGUACUUCCUUCACUACUGCCAAACUCUCAUCUGUUAAUGUACUUAAGGCAAAGCACAGUAAAUACAGACAUGACUAUAAUCUCUUCUUCAUAAGAAAUUGACCCGGCCUAAUCUAAGCAGUGGACAGGGAUAUGUGGUAUGUCUGCAUGUUUAUUCCCAUUUUUUGUUUAAAUUCGCUCUUGAAAUGAUCUGUGUGUGUUUUUGUGUGUCCCUGAUGUGGUCACGGCUGGCUGCAGCCAUUCAUUCAGCCCGUUGCUCAAGUGCCUGGGGCCUGUAACGUGUGCCUGCUGUCUGUUGGCUGCAGAUGCUAUCAUGUGUGAUUAGUACAGCGUGUUUGUUGGCACAUGCUCUCUCACUGUCUGAUAGCAGUUACAUUCUUCACCGCUGUGGGCUGCCCCGAGGAGAAAACCCCUGCACCUGCCUCUGUUUCUGCCUAAUGUAAACAGGUAAAAAAAAAAGAAA